This 253-nucleotide ribosomal RNA is filed under the name uncultured bacterium. RNAcentral describes it as "partial 16S ribosomal RNA". It matches the Rfam family "Bacterial small subunit ribosomal RNA", at positions 524 to 776 of the family's 1533-position model. The record is from RNAcentral.
UACGUAGGGUGCAAGCGUUGUCCGGAAUUAUUGGGCGUAAAGAGCUCGUAGGCGGUUUGUUGCGUCGGCUGUGAAAUCCCGAGGCUCAACCUCGGGUCUGCAGUCGAUACGAGCAAACUAGAGUGUUGCAGGGGAGACUGGAAUUCCUGGUGUAGCGGUGAAAUGCGCAGAUAUCAGGAGGAACACCGGUGGCGAAGGCGGGUCUCUGGGCAACAACUGACGCUGAGGAGCGGAAGCGUGGGGAGCGAACAGG